This is a regulatory RNA element of Nocardioides sp. Root190, 256 nucleotides long. It matches the Rfam family "raiA RNA". Lineage: Bacteria; Bacillati; Actinomycetota; Actinomycetes; Propionibacteriales; Nocardioidaceae. The record is from Rfam.
UCCGCCCGGGUCCGUGGUUGCGCUGUACAGGCUGGGCAGAAGCCCGGCCAGGUGCGGCAAGCCGAUGCCAGUCGCAGGCGAAACGGUCCACGUAAGUCGACCUCCGGGUCGACGAUCACGGUGCGGCUUAGUCGUCAGUCCUGCCUCGAACCGGACGUCAGAUGCGUCCGACUUCGGGAGAAGGUCAGUAGUGGCACCAAGCUGCGGGAGCCUCAGCAGGCGGGUGUGGGGGAGAAGACCAGGUCGGCCGGGCGGA